GUGCUCUCUUUGGCAGCACACACACUAAAAUUGCAAAGAUACAAAGAAAACUAUUAUGACUCCUGAGCAAGUAUUACUUGCAAAUUUAUGAACUGUUCCUUAUUUUU
Molecule: small nuclear RNA, 107 nt
Organism: Sorex araneus (European shrew)
Lineage: Eukaryota; Metazoa; Chordata; Mammalia; Eulipotyphla; Soricidae
Source: Ensembl